AGAUCAAUGAUGACGCCAAAAAUGCAUUCCUUGAAAAGCGGAACAAAAUGAGUGAGAACCCAUACCGUCGUUGUUCUCAUCAGUAACUGAAGUCC
This is a small nucleolar RNA of Myotis lucifugus (little brown bat), 95 nucleotides long. Its record names the gene SNORD116. It matches the Rfam family "Small nucleolar RNA SNORD116". From Rfam's summary of the family: HBII-85 is a member of the C/D class of snoRNAs, which contain the C (UGAUGA) and D (CUGA) box motifs. HBII-85 is encoded in a tandemly repeated array with another C/D snoRNA, HBII-52, in the Prader-Willi syndrome (PWS) region of chromosome 15. The record is from Ensembl. Lineage: Eukaryota; Metazoa; Chordata; Mammalia; Chiroptera; Vespertilionidae.